This 140-nucleotide ribosomal RNA is filed under the name Bacillus paralicheniformis. Its description in RNAcentral is "partial 16S ribosomal RNA". It matches the Rfam family "Bacterial small subunit ribosomal RNA", at positions 1 to 137 of the family's 1533-position model. The record is from RNAcentral. Lineage: Bacteria; Bacillati; Bacillota; Bacilli; Caryophanales; Bacillaceae.
UUCAUGGAGAGUUUGAUCCUGGCUCAGGACGAACGCUGGCGGCGUGCCUAAUACAUGCAAGUCGAGCGGACAGAUGGGAGCUUGCUCCCUGAUGUCAGCGGCGGACGGGUGAGUAACACGUGGGUAACCUGCCUGUAAGA